AACGGGAAGUUCUGAGAAGUGACUGCCAGAAGCCUGUGUUCUUUGCCCUGUGCAGCUCUGCGCUUCUGAGGAUGUCUCUAGGUGACACAGCAAGGCUGUGGGAUUGGCGAGGGGGCUCCCAAAUGAAGAUCCUCAGUAAACACCUGGAAAACAAGCUUCUCUCCAGCUCGGAUUUCUACUGAGAAGGAAGGGACAGGAUCCUCUCAGCUUGUUCUGAGGCUCCUUGUCACCUGAGACCCUCUUCCAGGGCUCCCUCCCCCGAGCUUCUAAACUCAGGGAUAAAGGGCCUAUUCAUCGGGCCUCCCAGAGCUGGUCUGGAAGCAGCCAGUGGUUAGUACCCCCUCCUCGAGCCUGUCUUCCCUGCCCCUCCCUCUGGACUUGACACCUGGUAUCUCUUUCUCGUGUCCAUGAGCCCAGGGCACGUGAGGCCCAGGUGGGCAUGGUAUCUCUUUCUCCCUAAACUGUCCCCAAAGCAGGCACAAUUUUGUGUGCUGCCCGCCCCCACUGUCAGUGCACUCUUCCAAGGGUUCCUGUGGAAUCCAGGCUCCAGUAAACACCCAAAGAGGAGGAAGUGGGCCAAGCAAUGAGCCUGCGAUUGCAUCAGGGCUGACGCACUCCCUGCCUUUUCCCCCACCUCAGUCUCCAGAGGAGCUCCCUGGGGCCAGGCCCAGCCCAGGAGAGAGGCUCAGGCCAAGGUGAAGAAGGGGAUGCUGGGGAGGGAUGCAGAUUAAAUUGCACUCUCCUUGGCUUGGGAAAGAAACAGCCAACAGAUUUGAAAGCUGGAGGUGAUGCAAAGAAGCCAAGGAGAAACAUGAAAACUCAAAUGUGCCCUGAACCAGUCUCAACCCCCAAGUCAAGGAAUGUAAAGGAACUUCCCUGGUGGCGCAGUGGUUAAGAAUCCGCCUGCCAAUGCAGGGGACACAGGUUCGAGCCCUGGUCCAGGAAGAUCCCACAUGCCAUGGAGCAACUAAGCCGGUGCACCACAACUACUGAGCCUGUGCUCUAGAGCCUGCAAGUCACAACUACUGAGCCUGCGUGCUGCAACUACUGAAGCCUGUGUGCCUAGAGCCUGUGCUCCACAACAAGAGAAGCUACCACAAUGAGAAUCCACAGCAAGAGAAGCCACCACAAUGAGAAGCCCGUGCACUGCAACGAAGAGUAGCCCCCGCUCUCCACAACUAGAGAAAGCCCGCGCACAGCAACGAAGACCCAAUGCAGCCAAAAACAAAUAAGAUUUAAUAAAUAAAUAAAUAAAUAAAUAAAUAAAUAAAUCCUGCUUAAAAAAAAAAAAGAUCUUCAUUUCAGAGCUACCCCAUUUCACAGAUGAGGAUAGAGGUUCAGUCCUGAAGUUAAGCCGUCUGUCCAAGGUCACAAAGCUAACAGUGAGAACAAGAGCCUGCAGUUUUGAAAUAAACUCUGUAGAGUCAG
Molecule: long non-coding RNA, 1428 nt
Organism: Physeter macrocephalus (sperm whale)
Lineage: Eukaryota; Metazoa; Chordata; Mammalia; Artiodactyla; Physeteridae
Exons: 3
Source: RefSeq, a predicted model, not a curated record